RNAcentral lists this ribosomal RNA (590 nucleotides) under uncultured bacterium. Its description in RNAcentral is "bacterial SSU rRNA". It matches the Rfam family "Bacterial small subunit ribosomal RNA", at positions 336 to 917 of the family's 1533-position model. The record is from RNAcentral.
CUCCUACGGGAGGCAGCAGUGGGGAAUUUUGGACAAUGGGCGCAAGCCUGAUCCAGCCAUUCCGCGUGAGUGAAGAAGGCCUUCGGGUUGUAAAGCUCUUUCGGCAGGGAAGAAACAGUUGAGGCUAAUAUCCUUGACCAAUGACGGUACCUGCAUAAGAAGCACCGGCUAACUACGUGCCAGCAGCCGCGGUAAUACGUAGGGUGCGAGCGUUAAUCGGAAUUACUGGGCGUAAAGCGUGCGCAGGCGGUUUUUCAAGUCUGAUGUGAAAGCCCCGGGCUUAACCUGGGAACUGCGUUGGAAACUGAAAGACUAGAGUGCGGCAGAGGGGGGUAGAAUUCCACGUGUAGCAGUGAAAUGCGUAGAUAUGUGGAGGAAUACCGAUGGCGAAGGCAGCCCCCUGGGUCGACACUGACGCUCAUGCACGAAAGCGUGGGUAGCAAACAGGAUUAGAUACCCUGGUAGUCCACGCCCUAAACGAUGUCAACUAGUUGUUGGGGAGGGAGACCUCCUUAGUAACGCAGCUAACGCGUGAAGUUGACCGCCUGGGGAGUACGGUCGCAAGAUUAAAACUCAAAGGAAUUGACGGA